RNAcentral lists this ribosomal RNA (355 nucleotides) under uncultured bacterium. RNAcentral's name for it is "partial 16S ribosomal RNA". It matches the Rfam family "Bacterial small subunit ribosomal RNA", at positions 338 to 691 of the family's 1533-position model. The record is from RNAcentral.
CCUACGGGCGGCAGCAGUGAGGAAUAUUGGUCAAUGGGCGCGAGCCUGAACCAGCCAAGUCGCGUGCGGGAUGACGGUCCUAUGGAUUGUAAACCUCUUUUGUCGGGGGGCAAAAGACGCCACGCGUGGCGUUCCGAGAGUACCCGAAGAAAAAGCAUCGGCUAACUCCGUGCCAGCAGCCGCGGUAAUACGGAGGAUGCGAGCGUUAUCCGGAUUUAUUGGGUUUAAAGGGUGCGCAGGCGGAAGAUCAAGUCAGCGGUAAAAUUGAGAGGCUCAACCUCUGCGAGCCGUUGAAACUGGUUUUGUUGAGGGGGUGAGAAGUAUGGGGAAAUCGUGGUGUAGCGGUGAAAUGCAU